Long non-coding RNA from Bufo bufo (common toad), 269 nucleotides. RefSeq lists it as uncharacterized. NCBI's taxonomy places the organism in Eukaryota, Metazoa, Chordata, Amphibia, Anura, Bufonidae. The transcript is spliced from 3 exons. The record is from RefSeq and is a predicted model, not a curated record.
AUUAAAAACGGCCCUGGUACUACCUGUAUCUGACUUCACAAAAAUAAUAUAUAGUUGUAUGACUUGUAUUCUUGAGCCUUAAAGGCUAUGUACACCUUCGGGGGCAAUCUUUUUAUGCUUGCAUUUUACUCAUUUGGGGCUAAAAAAUCAUUGAGCUGUUAUAUCACAAAGGUUUAACAGUUUUUCUAGCUAUGUGCAUCCUACUUUCACUUUGUACUGGUCAUCUAAGUACCCUUAUCUUUAAAUUACUAAGAUGUCAUAAACACUUA